Molecule: ribosomal RNA, 268 nt
Filed under: Rhizophagus irregularis
Lineage: Eukaryota; Fungi; Glomeromycota; Glomeromycetes; Glomerales; Glomeraceae
Source: RNAcentral
CAGUCGUACCUUCGGGUAAUCAGCCUUUCGGGUGCGAUUCCGUGGAGUGUGAGGAGCUUAAACACCUUCAUGUUUUGCAUAUUCGUACUCUUGGGUGUACUUGCCCGUAUGGUUGGUUAACAUCAAUUUUGGUGGUCAUAAAAUGACUGGAGGAAUGUAGCUUCGAUCUUGUAUUGAAGUGUUAUAGCCUUCGGUAGAUGUGGUGAUCGAGAUUGAGGAUUGCAACGGGAUUACCUUUCGGGGCUACCUGUCUGAUCUCUGAUCGUUG